RNAcentral lists this microRNA (18 nucleotides) under Haemonchus contortus (barber pole worm). RNAcentral describes it as "hco-miR-5969". The record is from miRBase by way of RNAcentral. Lineage: Eukaryota; Metazoa; Nematoda; Chromadorea; Rhabditida; Trichostrongylidae.
GGCUUCAUAUUAUGUGUC